GCUGCAGCUCCACGUCAAUCAUGCUAAUCAUGCAGAAAACCAUGCCCACGUGUGCACCAGCCCACAGGUGCGUAGAUGACCCUCGCGCAUGCAUGCGGAUUGUGCAAUUCUCCUUCGCACGCGGUAUGCGUGAGCCCAUUGCUGCACACAUGCAAUGCUUGUGCAAUUCUUCUAUGUGGGUGCGACUCACUUUACGUGAGCACAUCUAGCCUGCAUGUGCCGUAAGUGUGUGUGACUUGCUUCAUUUGCGCACUUCUCCUACACUUAUGUAGCAGGGUGUUCGACACAUGUGCACUACCUUGCAUGUCACACAUUCCCAUAUGUGCGAGUCUUCCUCUCUCGCACAUGUGCAUGCCUGCACAUGCGCAUAAAGUUGUUGGUUUGCGCGUCCUCCCUUAGAAGGUUAUCUCCUUGGCCAUGAGGCCUUUAGAUCUUCUCAGGUUUAGCCAACUAUGGGCUUUUCUUCUUAUCCCAUGAUUCCCCACAUCCGAAUGUGUCUUUUUGGGCUUCAGGCCUUCUCUGAAUGAUCUUGGCCUGUUUUGCUUGG
RNAcentral lists this long non-coding RNA (547 nucleotides) under Carica papaya (papaya). RNAcentral's name for it is "long non-coding RNA (CPAP_LNC011856)". Lineage: Eukaryota; Viridiplantae; Streptophyta; Magnoliopsida; Brassicales; Caricaceae. The record is from RNAcentral.